GUGGGGAAUCUUGCGCAAUGGGCGAAAGCCUGACGCAGCCAUGCCGCGUGAAUGAUGAAGGUCUUAGGAUUGUAAAAUUCUUUCACCGGGGACGAUAAUGACGGUACCCGGAGAAGAAGCCCCGGCUAACUUCGUGCCAGCAGCCGCGGUAAUACGAAGGGGGCUAGCGUUGCUCGGAAUUACUGGGCGUAAAGGGAGCGUAGGCGGACAUUUAAGUCAGGGGUGAAAUCCCGGGGCUCAACCUCGGAAUUGCCUUUGAUACUGGGUGUCUUGAGUGUGAGAGAGGUAUGUGGAACUCCGAGUGUAGAGGUGAAAUUCGUAGAUAUUCGGAAGAACACCAGUGGCGAAGGCGACAUACUGGCUCAUUACUGACGCUGAGGCUCGAAAGCGUGGGGAGCAAACAGGAUUAGAAACCCGGGUAGUCC
RNAcentral lists this ribosomal RNA (425 nucleotides) under uncultured bacterium. RNAcentral describes it as "partial 16S ribosomal RNA". It matches the Rfam family "Bacterial small subunit ribosomal RNA", at positions 354 to 796 of the family's 1533-position model. The record is from RNAcentral.